CCUACGGGGGGCUGCAGUGGGGAAUAUUGCACAAUGGGGGGAACCCUGAUGCAGCGACGCCGCGUGAGCGAAGAAGGAAUUCGUUUCGUAAAGCUCUGUCCUAUGGGAAGACAAUGACAGUACCAUAGGAGGAAGCCCCGGCUAACUACGUGCCAGCAGCCGCGGUAAUACGUAGGGGGCGAGCGUUGUCCGGAAUCACUGGGCGUAAAGGGUUCGCAGGCGGAUAGGAAAGUCUAAAGUAAAAAGCGAGGGCUCAACCCUCGUAAGCAGUAGAAACUAACUAUCUUGAGAAGUGGAGAGGUAAGUGGAAUUACUAGUGUAGCGGUGAAAUGCGUAGAUAUUAGUAAGAAUACCGGUAGCGAAGGCGACUUACUGGACACUAACUGACGCUGAGGAACGAAAGCGUGGGUAGCAAACAGGAUUAGAUACCCCGGUAGUC
This 439-nucleotide ribosomal RNA is filed under the name uncultured Peptoniphilus sp. RNAcentral's name for it is "bacterial SSU rRNA". It matches the Rfam family "Bacterial small subunit ribosomal RNA", at positions 338 to 795 of the family's 1533-position model. The record is from RNAcentral. Lineage: Bacteria; Bacillati; Bacillota; Tissierellia; Tissierellales; Peptoniphilaceae.